This 468-nucleotide ribosomal RNA is filed under the name uncultured bacterium. RNAcentral's name for it is "partial 16S ribosomal RNA". It matches the Rfam family "Bacterial small subunit ribosomal RNA", at positions 28 to 507 of the family's 1533-position model. The record is from RNAcentral.
GACGAACGCUGGCGGCGUGCUUAACACAUGCAAGUCGAACGGAAAGGCCCUGCUUUUGUGGGGUGCUCGAGUGGCGAACGGGUGAGUAACACGUGAGUAACCUGCCCUUGACUUUGGGAUAACUUCAGGAAACUGGGGCUAAUACCGGAUAGGAGCUCCUGCUGCAUGGUGGGGGUUGGAAAGUUUCGGCGGUUGGGGAUGGACUCGCGGCUUAUCAGCUUGUUGGUGGGGUAGUGGCUUACCAAGGCUUUGACGGGUAGCCGGCCUGAGAGGGUGACCGGCCACAUUGGGACUGAGAUACGGCCCAGACUCCUACGGGAGGCAGCAGGGGGGAAUAUUGCACAAUGGGCGGAAGCCUGAUGCAGCAACGCCGCGUGCGGGAUGACGGCCUUCGGGUUGUAAACCGCUUUCGCCUGUGACGAAGCGUGAGUGACGGUAAUGGGUAAAGAAGCACCGGCUAACUACGUG